GACGAACGCUGGCGGCGCGCCUAACACAUGCAAGUCGAACGAGCGAGAGGAGGUUUACUUUCUCAAGCGAGUGGCGAACGGGUGAGUAACGCGUGAGGAACCUGCCUCAAAGAGGGGAACAACAGUUGGAAACGACUGCUAAUACCGCAUAAGCCCACGACCCGGCAUCGGGUAGAGGGAAAAGGAGCAAUCCGCUUUGAGAUGGCCUCGCGUCCGAUUAGCUAGUUGGUGAGGUAAUGGCCCACCAAGGCGACGAUCGGUAGCCGGACUGAGAGGUUGAACGGCCACAUUGGGACUGAGACACGGCCCAGACUCCUACGGGAGGCAGCAGUGGGGAAUAUUGCACAAUGGGGGAAACCCUGAUGCAGCGACGCCGCGUGGAGGAAGAAGGUCUUCGGAUUGUAAACUCCUGUUGUUGAGGAAGAUAAUGACGGUACUCAACAAGGAAGUGACGGCUAACUACGUG
RNAcentral lists this ribosomal RNA (466 nucleotides) under uncultured bacterium. Its description in RNAcentral is "partial 16S ribosomal RNA". It matches the Rfam family "Bacterial small subunit ribosomal RNA", at positions 28 to 507 of the family's 1533-position model. The record is from RNAcentral.